RNAcentral lists this ribosomal RNA (445 nucleotides) under uncultured bacterium. RNAcentral's name for it is "bacterial SSU rRNA". It matches the Rfam family "Bacterial small subunit ribosomal RNA", at positions 28 to 483 of the family's 1533-position model. The record is from RNAcentral.
GACGAACGCUGGCGGCGUGCUUAACACAUGCAAGUCGAACGGAAAGGCCUCUUUCGGGGGGUACUCGAGUGGCGAACGGGUGAGUAACACGUGAGUAACCUGCCCUUGACUUUGGGAUAACUUCAGGAAACUGGGGCUAAUACCGGAUAGGAGCUCCUGCUGCAUGGUGGGGGUUGGAAAGUUUCGGCGGUUGGGGAUGGACUCGCGGCUUAUCAGCUUGUUGGUGGGGUAGUGGCUUACCAAGGCUUUGACGGGUAGCCGGCCUGAGAGGGUGACCGGCCACAUUGGGACUGAGAUACGGCCCAGACUCCUACGGAGGCAGCAGUGGGGAAUAUUGCACAAUGGGUGGAAGCCUGAUGCAGCAACGCCGUGUGCGGGAUGACGGCCUCGGUUGGUAACCGACGUUCGUCUCACUGACGAAGACUUCGUGUGUACGGUAGUGGGU